AAUACAAAAAUUAAAAAUUAAAUUAUUUACAAUAUAGCCGACCACAAUCAUGUACAAACAUUGAUUAUUAGCUACAAUACAUCCCACCAAUUAUUUAAUAUACAAUCAACCAAUCACCAUAAGAAUACAAACAUUAUUUACAAAAUUUAUCGAGGUUCCAAAUCCAAACUAUAAAACAUACAAAAUACUAAAAACUACAACUCAUUAUCCGCAACUUCAUUCUCAGCCUCAUCCAUUCUAUUAUCGAUAUUUCGUUGAUAUAUCCAGCUAUAAUCAGAUUUCAUCUACACAAUCAAUCAAAUUCAAGAGAUUAGUUCAAGUCACAAAAGUUCAGAUUUCAAAUACCUACACCUAAACAUUUUCAAGUAACUGAUUCACUUCACAAGUUACUAAACUAAACUUAAUUCAAAAUGAAAAAACGUACCUACACUUAAAAACAUUUUGAAGUCACUAAAUCACUUCUCAAGUGACCACACUUUACUAAAAUCAAAACGCAAGUUCACAUUUCAAGUAACUAAAUUCAAAACAAAAGUCACUAUUCCACCUUUCAAGUAACUACACUUAAACAUUUA
RNAcentral lists this long non-coding RNA (572 nucleotides) under Capsicum annuum. RNAcentral describes it as "long non-coding RNA (CANN_LNC000808)". The record is from RNAcentral. Lineage: Eukaryota; Viridiplantae; Streptophyta; Magnoliopsida; Solanales; Solanaceae.